RNAcentral lists this long non-coding RNA (1044 nucleotides) under Betta splendens (Siamese fighting fish). RNAcentral describes it as "lncRNA (ENSBSLG00000026285.1)". Lineage: Eukaryota; Metazoa; Chordata; Actinopteri; Anabantiformes; Osphronemidae. The record is from RNAcentral.
GGAAUCAGAUGGCAAUUUACUUGGUAUAUCAAACUAAAACAGAUGUAAUGCAACAGUUUCCAUUCAAUAUAGUGAUGUCGCAUGAGCUCUUUCUAGAGUUACAGCAGCUAAAGUUAUAAUCGGGACCCAGUUGUAUUCUAAAAGCAACAAGUUAUAUUAACCACCUCCGCACAACUUAUUUCACACCAAUAAGCGUUAUAUUAACCAAACUGGGUUUUGUGGGACGUUAACUAAAACAUUCGCUGUAUGACUUAAGUUAACCCCACUAACUGUCAAACGACUAGUUAACGCUAGUUACCCUUGCCCACGUCACUUAGCAAACUUAACGUCAAACUGUCGUCCGAGGCAGCUGACAUUUUACCAGGACGUGGCUUUACUGAAUCAGUCUGCAACAGUGCUGUUCCCUCAGAGAGAACGUUUGUCGAUUCGCUAUUUUUAACUUCAACACAUCCCUGCAGAAAACGUUACUAAAGUCACUGGCUAGCUUCAUCUUCAGCUGCCCUGGUUUCCUAGCUCCAGAUAAGGAAGCUAACUUCAAGUUGGGUUCAAUCAGGUCGACAUUCGGGAAAUGCACCCAUGUCAGCAAUGGAAAUAAAAGGUACGUGAAUGACGCACUGCACUUCUCAAAGAAGCCUAAAUAGUCAACAAAUGUUUGAGAAAUGCCGAUUGUUUUUGUUCAGCAUGUGGUGGAGAAUCAAACUAGGUUUUCAUCACUAGUACACUUUUCGAUGCAGUGUUGGUCCAUGAAGUCAUCAUAGCCCAUGAAGAAGUCAUUAAUAGAAUCAAGAGUUACUGGUUUAUGGAUCUUACUUAUAAUAUCUUUCCGUGGGUACCUUUUAUAUAGUACACAUUAAUCUACACAUGCUCUUACUGCCUGUUGGCCAAAAGAAGACUCAUAAAUGGAUUUUUUAGCCCAAGAUAAAGAGGUGAGGCUUCAUAGCACAACAUACCUGCACUAUCUUUAAGUGUUUAAUUUAUAUUUAAAUUAAACUAUAAAAUGUUAGCCAUCUCAUCUUCUAACAAUACCUCCAUGAAACUGUAUUU